This 468-nucleotide ribosomal RNA is filed under the name uncultured bacterium. Its description in RNAcentral is "partial 16S ribosomal RNA". It matches the Rfam family "Bacterial small subunit ribosomal RNA", at positions 28 to 507 of the family's 1533-position model. The record is from RNAcentral.
GACGAACGCUGGCGGCGUGCUUAACACAUGCAAGUCGAACGGAAAGGCCCUGCUUUUGUGGGGUGCUCGAGUGGCGAACGGGUGAGUAACAAGUGAGUAACCUUCCCUUGACUUUGGGAUAACUUCAGGAAACUGGGGCUAAUACCGGAUAGGAGCUCCUGCUGCAUGGUGGGGGUUGGAAAGUUUCGGCGGUUGGGGAUGGACUCGCGGCUUAUCAGCUUGUUGGUGGGGUAGUGGCUUACCAAGGCUUUGACGGGUAGCCGGCCUGAGAGGGUGACCGGCCACAUUGGGACUGAGAUACGGCCCAGACUCCUACGGGAGGCAGCAGUGGGGAAUAUUGCACAAUGGGCGGAAGCCUGAUGCAGCAACGCCGCGUGCGGGAUGACGGCCUUCGGGUUGUAAACCGCUUUCGCCUGUGACGAAGCGUGAGUGACGGUAAUGGGUAAAGAAGCACCGGCUAACUACGUG